AAACAUAGCCUUUAGCAAACCCAGUAUUAAAGGUGACGCCUGCCCAGUGAAAUUUAAACGGCCGCGGUAUCCUAACCGUGCAAAGGUAGCGUAAUCACUUGUCUUAUAAAUAAAGACCUGURUGAACGGCUAAAUGAAUAUUUAACUGUCUCCUUUGACUUGUCAGUGAAACUGAUCUUUCAGUACAAAAGCUGAAAUAAACAUAUAAGRCGAGAAGACCCUGUGGAGCUUUAAACUUUUAUCAAGACAACAUUACAACCUAUGUCUAUGAUUAGAAGUUUUAAGUUUGGGGCGACUUUUGGAGUAAAACAAAACCCUCCAAGAACAAGGUACCACCCUAAACCUAGGCCCCACUAGCCUAACAAAUUUAGACCCAGUACUACUGAUCAACGAACCAAGUUACCCCCAGGGAUAACAGCGCCAUCUUCUUUCAAGAGUUCAUAUCGACAAGAAGGUUUACGACCUCGAUGUUGGAUCAGGACACCCAAAUGGUGCAGCCGCUAUUAAAGGUUCGUUU
Molecule: ribosomal RNA, 517 nt
Filed under: Anolis stevepoei
Lineage: Eukaryota; Metazoa; Chordata; Lepidosauria; Squamata; Anolidae
Description: partial 16S ribosomal RNA
Rfam family: Bacterial large subunit ribosomal RNA
Source: RNAcentral